UAACUUGGGUUGACAUAAAACAGUGAUACAGUUGAAUAUAUUGUAUGAAACCGACAAAAUAUUAUUAUCCAAUGCUUGUGAAGUGUACAAUGAAUCGACAACGAACUUACCUGCCGGUUAUUCGGUCUCCUGACACAGAAAACCGGCAGUGUUAGUAGCCGUCAAGGCCUAAAAACGGAUCACAGUAUGGGUAAACUUGGUCCUGCAUGAACACCUGCUGCGGCCUGGCUUCAUGUUGAUGUGUGUACACUUCAACAUCUGGACACUAGAUGGCGCACAUGACUCAGUGGUGAAACAGAUUACCGACUUGUAAUGAGACAUACAGGCAGGCUGGGUAAAAGCUGAAGAUCCACGGCAGAGUGUCUGAAGGUACAGACGCUGGAUAUUGAGGCUGGGUGCCUGGAGGGCUCGGACCAUGCUGCUCAUAAUAGAGAAAAAAAAGGUACAUCGCUCCUGUGACUGCUCCCAUCCAAACCAUACAGAGGUCAUCAUCUCUGCUGAGUAACAAUAAAGGAAGAGAACGAGGGAUACAAUGUGGAUACGAUCAGGACAGGAGAGAUAUAAAGGAGAAUGCAUUUCUUAUAUGCCUAUAUCUAAAAGGCACAUGCUCAGUUAUGAUGUUUCUCAAAGUGACCAUGAGGGAAAAUUACAGCAAGACUACCGUACAUUUGCCAGAAGAUCUGUCAUUCCCCUCCUUAAAUACAUGCUGUUUCCUGUUUACACAGGAAGUAACAAGAUUCCCUGUAGUCAAGUGUCCGCUGAAGUGUUCCAACCUGAAUGACAUUGAGCUCCUUCGACUGGCUGGUGCAAAGGGCCGACUAAAAGCUAAUCAGGCUGUAAUUCAAGAUUCGCCCAGCCACUUACAAUCAAUACUCGCACAAUCCCAAUUAAAGCUUGCCGGGUCAAUGGAGGGCCACCAAUUCCUUUACAAGUUAAAUGCAAUACUUAAAUCUAAAGCAAUCUCAGUGUGGCCUUCAAUGGUUUAAUGGCUCGUGCCAACAGGAGUGUCCAGUUAAAAGUGCAAGAAGGAUACAGCGUGGACAGGUUAUAGUGAUUAAUACUUCCUAACCCCACAAAUACGUGCACUCUUUUUAAAUAUCAUAUUAAAUGCAGGAUCUUACUUGGAAUGUAGCAUUUUUACGAGUGGAUGAAGUAUCUGAAUACUUUAUUCAGUACUGCAUUUGCUAGCUUUAGCUACUAGCUACUCAGAGGAUUCAAAAGCACCAAUUUGUGUAACUUGAUGCAUUCUUUUUGUAUAUACUUACAUUUUGUUAAAAUAAGUUAUAUUCAAUUACUAUGUGAGCUACUUUCAUAUCAUGUACAAAGAAUAUCAAUAAAAUGACUACUUUUACUGUUGA
This is a long non-coding RNA of Notothenia coriiceps (black rockcod), 1358 nucleotides long. RefSeq lists it as uncharacterized. Lineage: Eukaryota; Metazoa; Chordata; Actinopteri; Perciformes; Nototheniidae. The record is from RefSeq and is a predicted model, not a curated record. The transcript has 3 exons.